CCAAUAGCGUAUAUUAGUGUUGUUGCGGUUAAAAAGCUCGUAGUUGAAUUUCGGGAUUGGGAUAUAUCGGUCGUGCCUUUAGGGGCAUGAAUCAGUGUGUGGCCAAUUCUCACCUUCUGGUGAAUUGGGAUGCUCUCGGGUGUUUCAAUGAACUAGGACUUUUACUUUGAAAAAAUUAGAGUGUUUAAAGCGGGCAUUUUUGCUUGAAUACGUUAGCAUGGAAUAAUAAAAUAGGACGAUGGUUCUAUUUUGUUGGUUUUAGGACCACGUAAUGAUUAAUAGGGAUAGUUGGGGGCAUUAGUAUUCAAUUGUCAGAGGUGAAAUUCUUGGAUUUAUUGAGGACUAACUACUGCGAAAGCAUUUGCCAAGGAUGUUUUCAUUAAUCAAGAACGAAAGUUAGGGGAUCAAAGACGAUUUAUGUACGUAGUAGUCCUAACCAUAAACUAUGCCGACUAGGAAUCAGACAAAGUUAAUUUUUUAACGACUUGUUUGGUACCUUACG
This 502-nucleotide ribosomal RNA is filed under the name uncultured Entrophospora. RNAcentral describes it as "SSU rRNA". It matches the Rfam family "Eukaryotic small subunit ribosomal RNA", at positions 591 to 1092 of the family's 1831-position model. The record is from RNAcentral. Lineage: Eukaryota; Fungi; Glomeromycota; Glomeromycetes; Entrophosporales; Entrophosporaceae.